RNAcentral lists this transfer RNA (70 nucleotides) under Marmota monax (woodchuck). Its description in RNAcentral is "tRNA.Ala". Lineage: Eukaryota; Metazoa; Chordata; Mammalia; Rodentia; Sciuridae. The record is from RNAcentral.
GGUUAAGUUCAGUGUUAGAGCACUUGCCUAGCAUGCAUGAGGUCCUGAGUUGGAUCCCCAGCAUUGCCCA